This 426-nucleotide long non-coding RNA is filed under the name Sorghum bicolor (sorghum). RNAcentral describes it as "long non-coding RNA (SBIC_LNC017513)". Lineage: Eukaryota; Viridiplantae; Streptophyta; Magnoliopsida; Poales; Poaceae. The record is from RNAcentral.
UAUCUAGAUCUACUCUAGUUUAGAGAAGAGAGGAGAGCUCUCAUCUCUAAACCCUAGCUUUUUCUCUGUCUAUAAAUAAUGAAUAAUGAUCAAGGGGUGCCUCCUCUAGGGGCCAGGGGGUCUGGUUAUAUAGUCCCCUCAAGUGAACCUGGGCCGUUGGAUCAAACCGACAUUGAUUGAACGGUUAUUCUUGAUCCUUUAGGUCGGUGGAGAUCUCCCGAGAGAAAGAGUCCUGAUUGGGCUCCAAUUCAGGGCGGGCACCCAGGGCAGGAGGGCGGGCGCCCUGCCUCUGGCCCCGUUCUGGAGUCUUCUAGAUGUAAGAUAAUUGCGCGGCACGUUAAUAUCUCUAUGUAAUCCCGACGUGUGGGCCUUUCUUCCGUAUUUCCUGAUAACCCCCUGCAGAAAUAGACAAACACCAAAACUCGU